CUCUCGCUCUCUCUUUGCGCAGGAUCUGAAGCCGGGAUGAGCGCCCGGGCGGUGGGACAGGAAAACGCGUCUCAGACAAGAAUUCAAGACUUCUGCAUCCUACCUGAAAUGAUGUGAGGAGGGGAGAGAGGAGUAUUCUCAGCAUCCUAUGAAGCUGGAGGGAGUUUUGUAUGCCAUCUGGCCUGAUGCAGGAAAUCUAGCCAUACAGCAUUGUUCAGCAGGUGGCUGUCAAGACUCUGCCUGAAGCCCUCCAGUGAGGGAACUCCUCACCCCAGGAAUUGGCUCCAUGAAACCAUAGGAUAAAUUCACAAAGUCUCCUGCAGACAUUAAUCGAAACAAGUCCAGGACAGACAGUGACAUUAUUCGUCUCCACAAAGAAGCGAGAGCCAAUCGUCACAGGCCUCAGGGUCCAAGGGGGUUUCUCUAUUCUAUGUGAAGGACAAUUUACUUCAUGUUCAUCGACUGCCUGUGAUGGACAAACAAUGUUACUUUUGAGACAUACAAAGAGGGCACCAAGCUGCUAAAAACUGGAUCCCUACCUCUCCUUUGGCAUUCUCACAGCACAUAAAUAUUGAGGCUAUGAAUAUUGUGCAUUUGGAAGUGAGAGGACGAAAUAAAAAUUGCUCAGUGUGAAAAUAUGUUUCAAAAUCUUUACUAUCAGAACUUGAUCUAAAAUAAACUUUCAACAACAAUGUUACAUUAUAGUUGCAUAAUAAUAUCAUGUGCUGAUCCCAGCACAG
This is a long non-coding RNA of Podarcis raffonei (Aeolian wall lizard), 740 nucleotides long. RefSeq lists it as uncharacterized. The transcript is spliced from 3 exons. The record is from RefSeq and is a predicted model, not a curated record. NCBI's taxonomy places the organism in Eukaryota, Metazoa, Chordata, Lepidosauria, Squamata, Lacertidae.